UCCAGACUCCUACGGGAGGCAGCAGUGGGGGAUAUUGCACAAUGGGGGAAACCCUGAUGCAGCGACGCCGCGUGGGUGAAGAAGUAUUUCGGUAUGUAAAGCCCUAUCAGCAGGGAAGAAAGAAGACGGUACCUGACUAAGAAGCCCCGGCUAACUACGUGCCAGCAGCCGCGGUAAUACGUAGGGGGCGAGCGUUAUCCGGAUUCACUGGGUGUAAAGGGAGCGUAGACGGCCGUGCAAGCCAGGAGUGAAAGCCCGGGGCCCAACCCCGGGACUGCUCUUGGAACUGUGCGGCUGGAGUGCGGGAGGGGCAGGCGGAAUUCCUGGUGUAGCGGUGAAAUGCGUAGAUAUCAGGAGGAACACCGGCGGCGAAGGCGGCCUGCUGGACCGCGACUGACGUUGAGGCUCGAAAGCGUGGGGAGCGAACAGGAUUAGAUACCCCGGUA
RNAcentral lists this ribosomal RNA (446 nucleotides) under uncultured bacterium. RNAcentral's name for it is "bacterial SSU rRNA". It matches the Rfam family "Bacterial small subunit ribosomal RNA", at positions 330 to 792 of the family's 1533-position model. The record is from RNAcentral.